UACGUAGGGUGCAAGCGUUGUCCGGAAUUAUUGGGCGUAAAGAGCUCGUAGGCGGUUUGUCGCGUCGAAUGUGAAAACCCGGGGCUCAACCCCGGGCCUGCAUUCGAUACGGGCAGACUAGAGUUCGGUAGGGGAGUCUGGAAUUCCUGGUGUAGCGGUGAAAUGCGCAGAUAUCAGGAGGAACACCGGUGGCGAUGGCGGGACUCUGGGCCGAUACUGACGCUGAGGAGCGAAAGCGUGGGGAGCGAACAGG
Molecule: ribosomal RNA, 253 nt
Filed under: uncultured bacterium
Lineage: Bacteria
Description: partial 16S ribosomal RNA
Rfam family: Bacterial small subunit ribosomal RNA
Source: RNAcentral